CCUACGGGGGGCAGCAGUAGGGAAUCUUCCACAAUGGGCGAAAGCCUGAUGGAGCAACGCAGCGUGGGUGAUGAAGGUCUUCGGAUCGUAAAACUCUGUUGUUAGAGAAGAAAGUGCGUGAGAGUAACUGUUCACGUUUCGACGGUAUCUAACCAGAAAGCCACGGCUAACUACGUGCCAGCAGCCGCGGUAAUACGUAGGUGGCAAGCGUUAUCCGGAUUUAUUGGGCGUAAAGGGAACGCAGGCGGUUUGUUAAGUCUGAUGUGAAAGCCUUCGGCUUAACCGGAGUAGUGCAUUGGAAACUGGGAGACUUGAGUGCAGAAGAGGAGAGUGGAACUCCAUGUGUAGCGGUGAAAUGCGUAGAUAUAUGGAAGAACACCAGUGGCGAAGGCAGCUCACUGGUCUGUAACUGACGCUGAGGUUCGAAAGCGUGGGUAGCAAACAGGAUUAGAUACCCUAGUAGUC
This 465-nucleotide ribosomal RNA is filed under the name uncultured bacterium. RNAcentral's name for it is "partial 16S ribosomal RNA". It matches the Rfam family "Bacterial small subunit ribosomal RNA", at positions 338 to 795 of the family's 1533-position model. The record is from RNAcentral.